RNAcentral lists this ribosomal RNA (1073 nucleotides) under Caridina pseudogracilirostris. Its description in RNAcentral is "16S ribosomal RNA". The stretch from base 597 to 954 matches the Rfam family "Bacterial large subunit ribosomal RNA", at positions 2079 to 2642 of the family's 2925-position model. The record is from RNAcentral. Lineage: Eukaryota; Metazoa; Arthropoda; Malacostraca; Decapoda; Atyidae.
AAUGAGAUGUUAGCCGUUCCUUAUAUAUCUAGUUUUUUCCGAAAAAAGUUUAAUUUGGGCUCUUAUUUAAAGAAGUAGGAGACGUAUCUUAAGAGGGAAGAGCUUCUUAGGGCUUGAAGAUGGCAAAAAAUUCUUAUUUCUUUUGUCUAGGCUUAAAAUCAGCCAUGUUUUUAUAUCGUUAUAGGUAAUAAGAAGUUAUUGAUUUAUUUCUAUUUUGCCUUUUGUUGUAGUAGGAUAAAAUUUGUUUUGGCUUUUAAUAUAAAGUUACAUUGAUUGUAUUAGUAGGUUGUGGUGUGUCAGUUAUUUAAUUUUUAAUUCUUAUUCGAAUUUUACAUUGUAGGCGCUGUUAAGGUUAAAGAAUUCGGCAAAUGUUGCUUCUGCCUGUUUAUCAAAAACAUGUCUGUGCGGGUGUUGAUGUACAGUCUGGCCUGCCCCCUGAGAUUUUAAAGGGCCGCGGUAUUUGGACCGUGCUAAGGUAGCAUAAUAAAUAGUCUUUUAAUUGAAGUCUAGUAUGAAUGGUCGGACAUGAAGUAAGCUGUUUCAGCCUUAACAACUAAAUUUUACCUUUAAGUGAAAAGGCUUAGAUUGGAUGGUGGGACGAUAAGACCCUAUAAAGCUUUACACUGUGUCUAUUGGUCUGUGGGUCUAAGGUUUCCAAUCCCUGUUAGGCAGAGCGUUUCGUUGGGGCGACGGGAAUAAAAAUAGUAACUGUUUUUUACAUAAAAAUAUAUGUAUAUAGGUGUAUUGAUCCUUUUUAGAGAUUAUAAGAUUUAAGUUACUUUAGGGAUAACAGCGUAAUUUCUCUUGAGAGUUCAUAUCGACAGAUGUAGUUGCGACCUCGAUGUUGAAUUAAAGUGUCCCCAAGGUGUAGCAGUUUUGGUGGUAGGUCUGUUCGACCUUUAAAAUUUUACAUGAUUUGAGUUCAGACCGGCGUGAGCCAGGUUAGUUUCUAUCUUUCGUUUUUACUGGGGCUAUUUUAGUACGAAAGGAGAGGAUAGCCAAAAAACUUUUUGGAAUUAGAUGAUUGAUAAUUACUUUGGCAGAUGAAUGUGCUAGAUUUAGGAUCUAGUUAU